Molecule: long non-coding RNA, 305 nt
Organism: Hyla sarda
Lineage: Eukaryota; Metazoa; Chordata; Amphibia; Anura; Hylidae
Exons: 3
Source: RefSeq, a predicted model, not a curated record
GGGGGAAGAUGGCGGCAGGUGCCGGAGUGGCGAGGGACCGGUGAUCACGGUAGGACCGGCGGCAGGCAGCGGCGGCAUCGGCAGCAGUGAGGAGGCGGCGGCAGAGACAGUGGUGGAGGCAGCAGUGAAGAUCAGUGAAAAUGAGCCUUCCCGCAAGAAUGAAAAAAAAUAAUUAUGACAAAUGUGGAAUAUAAAAUAAAAGCAUUCGGGGCUGGUAUCAGAUUACCUGUUCUUGACCCCAGUGCUGUAUGAGACCCCCAAUUUGUGGAUGGCAUACCUGUACCAUUUUUCAAAACCAUCAUCAG